Molecule: non-coding RNA, 451 nt
Organism: Delphinapterus leucas (beluga whale)
Lineage: Eukaryota; Metazoa; Chordata; Mammalia; Artiodactyla; Monodontidae
Source: RefSeq, a predicted model, not a curated record
AGAGUUGGGGCGAGGCUGGCUGAGGUUCUCGAGGAGCUGAGUUUUGGGCUCAGGUGCCCGCCCGGCAGUGGAAUGAUGCUUCCCGACCUUUCAGACCUUUGAGACCUCUGCGCACUCCUAGAAAGCACUUCAAGCCUCCCGUCGGCACCCGGCUGCCCAGGGGAACCCCAGGGACAGGUGUCAGAGAGAUCGUGGCCCGAGAGGUGAUGGAUACCCGGAUGCACUCACGACAGCAUCUCAAAGAUUCCACGCCACUAGCUGCUCCCAAGCAUGAAGCCACCUUCCUGCAGAGGCGGCAGGAAACCAGCCUGGAGGAGGUUCUACUUUUUAUCUGGAGGAUGGACCAUCUUCUCAGGUGUCCUGGAUCUGCUGAAGGACCAUGAGGAGGAGAAGGUUGCGGGUCCCCAAGACAGAGCACAGCAGGUGGAACGGAGAAGCACCCAGAGCAGAA